Long non-coding RNA from Anolis carolinensis (green anole), 1835 nucleotides. RefSeq lists it as uncharacterized. The record is from RefSeq and is a predicted model, not a curated record. The transcript has 2 exons. Lineage: Eukaryota; Metazoa; Chordata; Lepidosauria; Squamata; Anolidae.
CACACGCGCACUUCCUCCACUUCCCCUUAGCAACGGGACCUACUAGGCCUUCCAUAGCAACGGGACCUACUAGGCCUUCCAUAGCAACGGGGCCUACUAGGCCUUCCAUAGCAACGGGGCCUAGGAACGUCCAGAAAUCCGCAUUUCAGCAGGAUGCAGAAAUACAGAGAAAAGAUGGGCAAAGACACGCAUCCACUACUAACUUCGAAAACUGGAACACAUCGAAGACAAACUUCUCCAGCUUUAUCCCGUUGGGUUUGAGCGGCUUUAUCAAAUUCCCUUCUUUGUCGACAAAAGGGACCUUCUUAAUGGCCACGUGGGGUCUCAGCUGAGGCUCGUAUUUCCUAGCAGGAGGGAAUAACAGAAUCACAGAGCUGCAAGGGAUCCUCAAAGGCCAUCCAGUCCAACCCUGAAAAGCAAAAAAGGAGGAGAACUGCAAACAUACUCGGCCACAUCCCGCAGGAAGUCCCGGGUGAAGAAAUGGUUGCAGAUAUUCCCGGCGCUGUAGGUCAAGCGUCCGUCCGGGUUCCGGCUCUGGGCCAAUUCGAGGGGCAGCUCGCUGUACUCCACAACCUGGUAGGCUCCUUCCACGCAACACACCACGCCCACCGGCUCCUCAGGGCAGGUUUUUUCCACCACCUGCACAAUAACAACAACAACAACAACAAAACCACUACAAUUAGGAAGCGGAUGGACCUCUAAGGCGGAAGUAAACCACAAGGUAAUAAUCUAUCCUGUAUUUAUUAUGAUUUUACCAUUUAUGUGUUUUAAAUGCAAUUUUUUAUCCUGUAUUUUUGUUUUAAUUGAUAUAUUGUAUUACUGUUUUAUCUUUUUAUAGUGUGAUUUGUAUUACGUUGCAUAUAUUUUGUCCUGUGUUGUUUGGGCCUCUGCCCCCUGUAAGCCGCCCCGAGUCCCCGCGGGGAGAUGGUGGCGGGGGAUAAAUAAAGUUUUAUUAUUAUUAAGGUAACCAUAAGCAAUUCAUGAGUAAGCAAAUACUGACACAGUCUGAAUUAAGGUCUAUGUACAAGGUUCUUGGAAGAAUGGAAUUAAGUAAUUUAUAUGUUUUUUAUGCUUUUUAUUUAUUUAUUACAAUAUUUAUAUCCCGCCCUUCUCACCCAGCAGGGGACUCAGGGUGGCUUUUUAAUGUUUGUAUAAUGCAUCUUUACUGAUUACUGUUAAUGGUUUUAAAUGUGUUGUUCAUUUCAUUGAUUGUUUGGCAUUGAAUGGGUGUUGUAAGCCGCCUUGAAUCCCUUCGGGUGAGAAAGGCGGGGUAAAAAUGUUGUAAAUAAAUAAAUAAGCCAACAGUGCAGUGCAGCUGCUAAAAAGGCCAAUGCGGUUCUAGGCUGCAUCAAUAGAAGUAUAGCAGUCCUAGUUCCUCUCUUCUGUUUUAAUCAGACUUCUUUACCCCUUGUCUCCACUUCUGGGAGUCCAGUGGAGUUGUUUUCCUUCUCUGGAGGUCUUAAGCAGAGGCUGGAUGGCCGUCUGUUGGGAGGGCUUGGAUUGUGCCUUCCUGCCGGAUAGAAAGGAGUUGGACUGGAAGGCCCUUGGGAUUUCCGCUAAGGGAUGAAGGCUGAGACUUUCAAGGAAUAAAUGAUAAACACGGAUGGACCUAUGGAUACAGUAUGAGGUUGUAUGGACGAACGGAUCUGAUCGAAUGUUUUAAAUUUAUAUAUUGUAAUUUUAUAUUGCAUUUAAUAGUCUUAAUUGAUUUUAUGUAUUGUUCGAUAUUGUUUUUGUGUGGGCAUCGAAUUGUGGCCAUUGUUGUAGACCGCCCUGAGUCCCUUUGGGUGAGAAAGGCGGGAUGCAAAUGUUGGAAAUAAAUAAAUAAGACUGCC